UCGAACGGGUGGAGUAAUAUAUCGGAACGUACCCAGAAGUGGGGGAUAACGUAGCGAAAGUUACGCUAAUACCGCAUACGAUCUACGGAUGAAAGUGGGGGACCUUCUGGCCUCAUGCUUGUGGAGCGGGCGAUAUCUUAUUAGCUAGUUGGUAGGGUAAAGGCGUACUUUGGGGAUUAUUCCCCCUGGCCUUAUCCGCCCCUUUUCUCCUGGUAUUAUACUU
Molecule: ribosomal RNA, 223 nt
Filed under: uncultured Massilia sp.
Lineage: Bacteria; Pseudomonadati; Pseudomonadota; Betaproteobacteria; Burkholderiales; Oxalobacteraceae
Description: partial 16S ribosomal RNA
Source: RNAcentral